Long non-coding RNA from Phacochoerus africanus (Common warthog), 1676 nucleotides. RefSeq lists it as uncharacterized. The transcript has 3 exons. NCBI's taxonomy places the organism in Eukaryota, Metazoa, Chordata, Mammalia, Artiodactyla, Suidae. The record is from RefSeq and is a predicted model, not a curated record.
AUAUGUUUAAGAAGAAUUUCUAACUUAGCACUCCGGCUAGUAUUUCUAGCACAUAUGCUUAUUAGAUUGGCGACAGGCAGAAACAGAGAUAGGAGAAAACCAGGAUUGUCUUCAGCAGCUAACACGGUGGAGGGUAGAGGCACAAAGUAGGGCUGACUAGGAACCCCCAGGGGACCAGGCUAAGGAAAUUCCUGGGCCUUAAAAUCCAGGAACAGACUGACCUCUCUGGAAGCUAGACACAGGAAAAACGAGCUUAGCUCAUCUGUCCCUUGGCCUCAGGUCAUCUCCACAGCUUAUUUGGUAAGGGUCACCAAACAAACCACUAAGGCAACUGUGUGUCUGGGUGGCCACCAACACACAGGGGCCCUUCUUUGGUAACCAAGUGAGCUCAUCAGGUGGGGCAAGAUUCAGAGGGCCCACAUUCACUUUUUCCCACUGAGUCUCCAAGAGGGCAAUACAAAUCUUUCUAAUUUGUACAGGGAGGCAUAUGGGAUGGGGAGAGGAAGUACUGUAGAUAGAAGAAAGGAAGCCAGGCUUAGAUGAUCUGCCUGGACCCCUUUACAUAUACAGCCGUGUGUGACUAAAGAGAAUGUAGAAGGUGCCCUGAUCCUGCCCUUCCAUCCACCCCACCUAUAGCAAUUCCAUCUGAUGCACGCCUGGGCUCCCCAGUUCGACUGGCACUAAGAUACCAAGUUACCAUCUGAGACCUCACCACAAGGGCUAGAGACUCCAGGAUGUGUGAAAGCUGUCCUCAGGCAGUGAUGGAUAUUUAUGGCCAAAGAGGACGAAACCCAGUCUUUGCCUGGAAAAGAACUGCAGAAACCUGGAAGUACCCUGUCGGCGCACACGGCACAGCGUGGGAGCCCCUGACCGGCUGUGAGCACCCAUCCCGACAUCCGGACUCUGUCUCUGACUCUCGCGAGCUCUCGAAUGUGCGUCCGUACUUCUCGCGGGAUCUCAGGGCAUCAGGAUUGAAGAUUAAGUGAUGCCCGCCCUAAUCCCUGAUCGCCAGGGAGCUGAGAUGCUGGGUCUGCGGUUGUAACUUGCUCAAGCUUGAUGCUAUCGACAGAGAAACAAGUGAAGCAGGUCAUAUCAGAAUUUGAAUUGCAGAAGCAACUGGAGAUAAGAGGCAGGGCCCCAAAAAGAUCCUGUAGAAGGUCCCAAAACGGAACCGACCCACCCCUCAGGGAGCCAGGGCUGGAGAGGAGCUAUCACAACACCCAGAAGAUCAGCGAGGAGGCUCCUGUGGUUAUCAUCAGGCAAGUGACGAUGGUGACAUGAUCCAGGUGAAAGGGUUAGGAGAGCACCUGGAGAGUGAACGCGCAGGUGGACCAAGUGCCCUAAAGCCACGCUGUGAAGGCAGCGGGCAAGUAAACCAGCUUAAGCUCAGUGGACUCCCCCAAGUUCUUCCUCCCCAUCCAAAGUUACAAGCCACAGAGCCCCACUUGGCUCGGAGCCGGUUUCCAGUUCACUGGGCACCACUUCUCUUCUUCACCCGGGGGGAGGGGUCCCCAAUUAGCUGGAGGAAGGGUCCCCAGCAUGGUCCUAUGUCCUCACAGCAGGAGGGCAGCUGCGUAGUCAGGGCUCCUCCCUCUUCCCACGGCUCUGCCAAGUCCGCAUGGCCAAGGUGUGUCCCCACUCCACCUGGAACUGCUCCAGCCUCAGGGGGAGGAAGG